Long non-coding RNA from Neogale vison (American mink), 1197 nucleotides. RefSeq lists it as uncharacterized. The record is from RefSeq and is a predicted model, not a curated record. The transcript is spliced from 4 exons. NCBI's taxonomy places the organism in Eukaryota, Metazoa, Chordata, Mammalia, Carnivora, Mustelidae.
CAGGAGACAGAAAAGAACUUACUUCUAGCACCUGAAUUUCUCAACUAGCUUUGGUGCAGACCUUCUCAAAGCGUGGUCUACACAGAAUCAAGGUUAGGGUCCGGAAUGUGCAAUUUCAUAGGCAGUACCCGGGAUUCUUAUGCACACUAAGUUCAAGAAGCCCUAGUUUAGAAAGAAGACACGUUGGGUGCAAAGUGGAGGGCAGACUUCCGGGAGGAAAAAUAGGAGUAAAGGGAUGGGAAACCAGCAUAUCCCUGCCUCUGAGAAACCAGAGCUGUUCUUCUCUGGUCUGCACCACACCUGUGCCACUGGGGUAACCACUAGUGGUUAGCCUUCCUAUUUUCCGGAGUCACUGAGACACACCACUUCAAGCACACACAAGCUUGGCCCCACCACUCACACACUCUGGUUCGUUUAGACCACUGGAGAGGAGUCCAUCCUGGGGCCCCUGCCUCACAGUCUGUUUCCGGUUUCCUGUUUUCCCCUGUUUCCUCACGGUCAGAGAGAGAAGAAUUGAAUAUUUUCCCAUAACGGAGCAAACACACUCUCUCCCCAGCAUUAUAGAGAAGAGUCUGGAAGUGUGGGGUUGGAACUUAGAGACCAGGCUUUGUCAGGACCUGGGCAGUCCCUCUGGGAGCGGCCUCGAGAUUCUGAACACAGCUUGGCUAAAGGGUGAAUAUGUCUGUGAUGAAACCAACUUGGAUAAACAUCUUUUAAGUCCCGAGAAGCAGCGCUCCGAGAAUGGGUCAGACCUCCACCGUUUGUGACUGGGAAUGCGGCUGUACUUCUGGUGUUGUCUCUGCUGCUUUCCCUUGUGUCUGUUCUAGGCCUUCAGUAAAUCUUCCCGGUUGUGCAGGGGAGAAUUUUGGGGGAGCCACUGUGCAGAUGGAUUCCAGCCCAUUUGCCUACUUCGUGGGAAGUCUAGACUCAAUCCUCUAAUCCACCCUCCAGAGCCAAAGAAGAGUCACUGUCUUUGCCUCACUUCCUUAACCCCCAAACUCUAGCUUCCUCUGGGAUGGAGGGUAGCAGAUGGUACACAGCUGUGGGACACAUCUGGUUUUGCAGGGAUCAGAGGAAGGCACAAAGGCCAGUUGAAAUCCCAAGGGCUACCCUAGAGGCAUGUCUCCAAAGUUGGGGUGGUGCCCCUGACACUCUACCCAGAUCCCAUCUUGGACGGGCUUCAUGUUUUCCCUUAGU